AUUGAACGCUGGCGGAAUGCUUUACACAUGCAAGUCGAACGGCAGCACGGACUUCGGUCUGGUGGCGAGUGGCGAACGGGUGAGUAAUGUAUCGGAACGUGCCCAGUCGUGGGGGAUAACGUAGUGAAAAUUACGCUAAUACCGCAUACGAUCUAUGGAUGAAAGCGGGGGAUCGCAAGACCUCGCGCGAUUGGAGCGGCCGAUAUCAGAUUAGGUAGUUGGUGGGGUAAAGGCCCACCAAGCCAACGAUCUGUAGCUGGUCUGAGAGGACGACCAGCCACACUGGAACGGAGACACGGUCCAGACUCCUACGGGAGGCAGCAGUGGGGAAUGUUGGACAAUGGGAGAAAGCCUGAUCCAGCCAUUCCGCGUGCAGGAUGAAGGCCCUCGGGUUGUAAACUGCUUUUGUACAGAACGAAAAGGUUUCUACUAAUACUAGGAGCUCAUGACGGUACCUGCAGAAAAAGCACCGGCUAACUACGUGCCAGCCGCCGCCGUAA
Molecule: ribosomal RNA, 500 nt
Filed under: uncultured bacterium
Lineage: Bacteria
Description: partial 16S ribosomal RNA
Rfam family: Bacterial small subunit ribosomal RNA
Source: RNAcentral